GUAUGGCCUCAUUACUUCUAGCCUCCAACUCUUCACUGACUUUCUGUACUGAAGGUAGUGAAAUCAAGAAAGUCUUUGUAAUACUUACGGAAAAAAAAAUAAAAAAGAACAUGAACAAGACAAGGAUUACACAAAAGGGCAUAAGUCCAAGAAGUAUUGAGGAUUUUAUGUGCCAUACCAGGAAGGACCAUACUUUUAUGCACAGAAGUGAACAUAUUGACUUUCAUAAUCCCUGUUAUGAGGGAUUAUGA
RNAcentral lists this long non-coding RNA (251 nucleotides) under Mustela putorius furo (domestic ferret). RNAcentral's name for it is "lncRNA (ENSMPUG00000027718.1)". The record is from RNAcentral. Lineage: Eukaryota; Metazoa; Chordata; Mammalia; Carnivora; Mustelidae.